RNAcentral lists this ribosomal RNA (154 nucleotides) under Burkholderia ubonensis. RNAcentral's name for it is "partial 23S ribosomal RNA". It matches the Rfam family "Bacterial large subunit ribosomal RNA", at positions 2783 to 2925 of the family's 2925-position model. Lineage: Bacteria; Pseudomonadati; Pseudomonadota; Betaproteobacteria; Burkholderiales; Burkholderiaceae. The record is from RNAcentral.
AAGCGGGAAACUCGCCUUAAGAUGAGAUAUCCCUGGAGGCUUGACCUCCUUGAAGGGUCGUUCGAGACCAGGACGUUGAUAGGUCGGGUGUGUAAGCGCAGUAAUGCGUUCAGCUAACCGAUACUAAUUGCCCGUAAGGCUUGAUCCUAUAACA